This 349-nucleotide long non-coding RNA is filed under the name Musa acuminata (dwarf banana). Its description in RNAcentral is "long non-coding RNA (MACU_LNC011612)". Lineage: Eukaryota; Viridiplantae; Streptophyta; Magnoliopsida; Zingiberales; Musaceae. The record is from RNAcentral.
UGGAAAUUAGACUAUAUUGCCGCAAUGCUAAGAUUUUGCCUAGGAUAACGAGUUCUUGCCCUAGUAGAUAAGAAUGUUCACUCAAAAAUGAAUUAUCAAAUUAUUACUUUAGAAUCUGAAGCAUCAGCUGGGUUCAGGGCGGGUUAAGGGGCUGAGGAUCCGACAAUUGGUUUGCUUCCCUCUAUAGAGGUUGGCGCGUCAAGAAGAGGUAUAUAGGUGAAGCAGAGGUCUUGCAGUUCCAUUGUCUUUCUGAUCGACAGUAAUCUGUGUUUGCGACUAGAGAAUCAGAGGUGUCACUUGCUAACGGAGCUCUUUCCACUGUAUUGUUUCAAGGAGAGGUCGGGGAAGA